GUGAAUCAUCGAAUCUUUGAACGCAAAUUGCACUUUCUGGUAUUCCGGAAAGUAUGCCUGUUUGAGGGUCAGUUAAAUAAAAAUCGGUGUUGUUGCUUCCUUUCGUUGUUACGCUUCGGAUUUGAUUCGUUUUACCUUCGGUUAAGCUUCGUAAAAUUUUUGCAUGGUUUUCGAACGUAUUUUAAUCGUUUACUUACGUUUGAGAUAUCGAAUGCUUAUUAGGUUCGGUCAUCCUCAUGACGCGCGCGUAUGAUUUUUUCGUUAAAUGACCGCA
RNAcentral lists this unclassified non-coding RNA (274 nucleotides) under Glomus sp. RNAcentral's name for it is "partial contains 5.8S ribosomal RNA and internal transcribed spacer 2". The stretch from base 1 to 71 matches the Rfam family "5.8S ribosomal RNA", at positions 84 to 154 of the family's 154-position model. The record is from RNAcentral. Lineage: Eukaryota; Fungi; Glomeromycota; Glomeromycetes; Glomerales; Glomeraceae.